RNAcentral lists this ribosomal RNA (457 nucleotides) under Spurilla braziliana. RNAcentral's name for it is "partial 16S ribosomal RNA". It matches the Rfam family "Archaeal large subunit ribosomal RNA", at positions 1888 to 2665 of the family's 2987-position model. The record is from RNAcentral. Lineage: Eukaryota; Metazoa; Mollusca; Gastropoda; Nudibranchia; Aeolidiidae.
CGCCUGUUUAUCAAAAACAUAGCCAUUAGAUGAUAUUACAUGGUUUUACCUGCCCAAUGUUAUAUAUGAAUGGCCGCGGUACUCUGACCGUGCUAAGGUAGCGUAAUCAGUUGACCUUUAAAUGAGGUCAGGAAUGAAUGGAAUAACCGGGUUUAGCUGUCUCUGUGUCACUAUAUUGAAUUUACUAUCUAAGUGAAAAAGCUUAGGGUUAAAAAAGGGAGGAGAAGACCCUUAGAAUUUUUUUUAAAAGGAAAUAAAAUUUUCUUACAAUUUUAUUGGGGCGAUAAAGAAAUAAUUAAAACUUUCUUUUAUUACAAGCCGAUUAUAUUAAGUGAGAAUAAAUUACCUGAGGGAUAACAGCAUAAUUCUAUAAAUGAGUUUGUGACCUCGAUGUUGGACUAGGAAACUAGCAGGCUAGCCGUUUGCUGUGUUAGGUUCUGUUCGAACUUUUAUUCCU